ACACUUUCCAAGUUUCACUCUCUCUCUUAAACUUCUAAACCUAAAACGCUUUACAAACACGCUCUCUCUUCACUCCAGCCUUCCUGCCUGAGAAGAAGAUGGAAGACGGCCGCUCACGGCGGCGCCGCCCCUCUAUUCCGGCAAACGAAACCAAAAUUCCACCUUCCCAUUAACACACUCUCCUAGGUACGAAUCCAAACUCAGAUUCCUCAUUACUUCAUCUCAAAUGCACGAAUCGGGGUCCCCAAACCGAACCCUAGAAUCGAAUAAUAAUAUCAACCAAGCUAGCUCAGAGCGAUUAGACCAAGGAUUCAGCAUAGAUCAACAAGGCGUGAGGGGUCUAAGAGGCGUAUCGAUCAAAACCCAAAAGUAAAACCUUAAAUUUGGUGGUGAUGGAGCGUUACUUCAAACCCAGACGUUAGGGGUUUCAAUCAGCGUAAACAGGAGAAUACAAAAGUGCACUGGAUUAGUCAAGGCGUGAAGAAAUCUACCUGAUCGGAGUUCGUUCGGUGACGUGCUUUCCGGCGACCAAAGAUAAGUUUACUUUCCCUCUCGUCUCUGCUUUGUUUCUCUUCGUUACUAGCUUCGCCUCAUCCACUUCUUUGAUUGCAGUGGUAUGUAUAUGUUGUUGUUGUUCACUGUUGUUGUUAUAUUCUUUUAGGGUAUUGAAAAAAAUAACUUUGUCGUGCGGUUGUUGUUCUUGCUUCUUUGAAACGAACUCUGUUGUGUUUAUGUUAUUCUUGAUUUUGGGAAAAUCUCUUACUGUAAUGUGUUGUUCUUUAGGCUUUUUGAGAAAAAGUUGUUUUUUCUGUUGUUGUGGUUUUGGCUUUUUGAGAAGAAAUCUCUUACUGUGUUGUGUCUCUUUGGAGUUAACAGAGAAAAAAACUUUGAAAAUUUCUUCUGGAUUUUAUAAAACGUGUUACUGUUAAUUAAUUUUGCGGUUUAUAUACAUGAAUGUUGGUUUCUGAGAUAACUUGUUGGAUCCUAUUUCCAGAUUUUGUGGGAUGAUUAAUCUAUGGAUUUAAAGUUGUUUAUUUGGAUAAUGCAGUGUGUUUCUGAGCGCUUCCUUUGAUUCAUUGUGUGAAGUGAUGUUGAUGCUGAUUGAUUGAAAAAGGGGGUUGUUAUUCAACAGGUUUUGGAAAAGUUCUGAAGAGUUGGUUUUGAAUUGGGAACUUCCAAAAGAGACUUAAUAAAAUUAUUUCUGAUGUAACAGAGACUUUUGGAUUAUGAACUUAGGGAUUGCUUGUAACAUGUACAAACUUAAUUUGGAAUUUUUCUUUUUGGACAGUUAUGUAAUUGUUUUGGAUUAUUAGGAAUUUUUGGAUUAGUUAGGAUAUAUUAACCGUAAGAAAAAUUGGGUUAGAUAUGUAACACUUUGGAUCAUUUGCAAAAUUUACAUAAUUUUAAUUUAA
This is a long non-coding RNA of Lathyrus oleraceus (garden pea), 1412 nucleotides long. RefSeq lists it as uncharacterized. The record is from RefSeq and is a predicted model, not a curated record. Lineage: Eukaryota; Viridiplantae; Streptophyta; Magnoliopsida; Fabales; Fabaceae. The transcript has 2 exons.